CAAUAGCGUAUAUUAAAGUUGUUGCAGUUAAAAAGCUCGUAGUUGGAUUUCUGGUGGGAGCGAUCGGUCUGGCGCUUAGCGCGAGUACUUGCAUCGUCUCCGGCCAUCCUUGGGGAGAGUCUGUCUGGCAUUAAGUUGUCGGGCAGAGGAUCCUCAUCGUUUACUGUGAAAAAAUUAGAGUGUUCAAAGCAGGCUUAUGCCGUUGAAUAUAUUAGCAUGGAAUAAUAAGAUAGGACUUUGGUACUAUUCUGUUGGUUUGCGCACCAAAGUAAUGAUUAAUAGGGACAGUUGGGGGUAUUCGUAUUCCGUUGUCAGAGGUGAAAUUCUUGGAUUUACGGAAGACGAACUACUGCGAAAGCAUUUACCAAGGAUGUUUUCAUUAA
Molecule: ribosomal RNA, 383 nt
Filed under: uncultured eukaryote
Lineage: Eukaryota
Description: partial 18S ribosomal RNA
Rfam family: Eukaryotic small subunit ribosomal RNA
Source: RNAcentral